UUUUGGAGUGGAGAGGGUGGUGUUUGAGAGCUGUUUCAGGUCGGUUUCGCGGCUGUUUGAAUGAUUCCGGUGGUGGGUGGUUUGCUUAAUGUUGUUCCAGCUUGGAACUGGCCGGAAAUGGAGAAGAAAGGUCUUGUUGUCGUCACCGGAAAGUAGAGGAAAAUGGGUUUGUUGUUAAUGUUUUCUGCUUGAUGUCGUUUCUGGUUUUUGGGGGUUUGAGUGGUGGUUUCAGGUGGUCGUUUGGAGGUUGUCUUGGUGGUGUUUUGCUGGAAAACGAAGAAAAUGAAUGGGGAUUGCCGGAGCUUGAUUUGGGGUUUUAAUUUGGUAUAAAUGGGUCGGGUUCGGAUUAAAAAGAGAAAAAAUUGGGUUAUUUAAUUGAAAUUGGGUAAUUUUAGUUGAUUUGGGUUUUCCAUCCAAUUGAGGGGUAAAUUUGGUGAAAUUAGUAACGGUAGGGGUAAAAUUAACUUCAUUUUAACGGCGAGGGUAAAGUCAACUAAUAAAACAAAGUUGAG
RNAcentral lists this long non-coding RNA (512 nucleotides) under Solanum tuberosum (potato). RNAcentral's name for it is "long non-coding RNA (STUB_LNC005810)". Lineage: Eukaryota; Viridiplantae; Streptophyta; Magnoliopsida; Solanales; Solanaceae. The record is from RNAcentral.